GUAUGGCUCUCUUUCUUGGACUAUUUCUCUGUCUUGGUCUCUGUCUUGGUCUCUGUCUUGGUCUCUGUCUUGGUCUAUGUCUUGGUCUCUGUCUUGGUCUCUGUCUUGGUCUUGGUCUCUGUCUUGGUCUCUGUCUUGGUCUCUGUCUUGGUCUCUGUCUCGGUUUCUGUCUUGGCCUCUGUCUUGGUCUCUGUCUUGGUCUCUGUCUUGGUCUCUGUUUUGGUCUCUGUCUCUGUCUUGGUCUCUGUCUUGGACUCUGUCUUGGUCUCUGUUUUGGUCUCGGUCUUGGUCUCGGUCUCUGUCUUGGUCUCUGUUUUGGUCUCUGUUUUGGUCUCUGUUUUGGUCUUGGUCUCUGUCUUGGUCUCUGUUUUGGUCUCUGUCUCUGUCUUGGUCUCUGUCUUGGUCUCUGUCUUGGUCUCUGUCUCGGUCUCUGUCUUGGUCUCUGUCUUGGCCUCUGUCUUGGUCUCUGUCUUGGUCUCUGUCUUGGUCUCUGUUUUGGUCUCUGUCUUGGUCUCGGUCUCUGUCUUGGUCUCUGUCUUUGUCUUGGUCUCUGUCUUGGUCUCUGUCUUGGUCUCUGUCUUGGUCUCUGUCUUGGUCUAUGUCUUGGUCUCUAUCUUGGUCUCUGUUUUGGACUCUGUCUUGGUCUCAGUCUCUGUAUUGGUCUCUGUCUUGGUCUUGGCCUCUGUCUUGGCCUCUGUUUUGGUCUCUGUCUUGGUCUAUGUCUUUGUCUUGGUCUCUGUCUUGGUUUGGUCUCUGUCUUGGUCUCUGUCUUGGUUUGGUCUCUGUCUUGGUCUCUGUCUUGGUCUCUGUCUUGGUAUUGGUCUCUGUCUUGGUUUCUGUCUUGGUCUCUGUCUUGGUCUCUGUCUUGGUCUUGGCCUCUGUCUUGGUCUCUGUUUUGGUCGCUGUCUUGGUCUCUGUCUUGGUCUCUGUCUUGGUCUCUGUCUUGGUCUCUGUUUUGGUCUCUGUCUUGGUCUCUGUCUUGGUCUCAGUCUCUGUCUUGGUCUUGGCCUCUGUCUUGGUCUCUGUCUCUGUCUUGGUCUAUGUCUUUGUCUUGGUCUCUGUCUUGGUUUGGUCUCUGUCUUGGUCUCUGUCUUGGUCUCUGUCUUGGUUUGGUCUCUGUCUUGGUCUCUGUCUUGGUAUUGGUCUCUGUCUUGGUAUUGGUCUCUGUCUUGGUUUCUGUUUUGGCCUCUGUCUUGGUCUAUGUCUUGGUCUCUGUUUUGGCCUCUGUCUUGGUCUCUGUCUUGGUCUCUGUUUUGGUCUCUGUUUUGGUCUCUGUCUUGGUCUUGGCCUCUGUCUUGGCCUCUGUUAUGGUCGCUGUCUUGGUCUCUGUCUUGGUCUCUAUCUUGGCCUCUGUCUUGGCCUCUGUCUUGGCCUCUGUUUUGGGCUCUGUCUUGGUCUUGGCCUCUGUCUUGGUCUCUGUCUUGGUUUCAGUCACGGUCUCUCCCCAUCCGUCUAUCUACUGUAAAUACAGUAUGUCUCUGUGAGUAGACCACUGACUGACUUUGUUUGUCCACAUAACCAGAUAGACAGGUCCUGCAGUCCUGUACUGGCUGUUCCUGGAGAAGGCUGGGUAGGGUGUGUGAGACAGGAAGUGGGGUGAGUGUGAGAUGUUGCUGUUUGGCUAGUGGACAGUCAGUGGCCCUAUUUUGGUGGUUUGGUUGGAGUGCUGAUGUUUUGUGGGCAUCGUUGCGAUACAGUUAGACGGUGAUGACUGAAGAGGAGACUACUUCCUGUGACGUCAUCAUGACAACUGUCAAAGAAGACACACAUGAGAGGAUCAUGUCCAGACAAGACCAAGAGGAAAAGCUCACUAUUACAGACUGGUACAGUAUGUGUGUGACUCUCCAGCAGCAGGAGCUGAGGCUGUCUGAGGGCUCUUACAGACCUCCAGGCCAAGCCC
RNAcentral lists this long non-coding RNA (1900 nucleotides) under Salmo salar (Atlantic salmon). RNAcentral describes it as "lncRNA (ENSSSAG00000095159.1)". The record is from RNAcentral. Lineage: Eukaryota; Metazoa; Chordata; Actinopteri; Salmoniformes; Salmonidae.